AUCCUGGACUUGGAUUUCCUCCAGUGCUACACAACAGGGGGGUCUCUCUCAGCUGCCGGUGGGGGCGGCUUAUGGUGCUCAUCUGCCCAUGCUGAUGCCUCUGCCAUACUCCUCCACCCAGGCCCACCACUGUGGCUGGGUGCAGCCUGUGAUCCACCCCAAACUGAUCUCAUCACAGCAUUACAGUUCAUGCCAAGCUACGCUAUAGGGUGUUGAGCUCAUUGCAGUAUUUUUCCUUCUGAAAGGAAACAAAAACAAACUCUCACCAGUUUAUUAUUUCAGCUAAUUAUAUGAACCAACAGUAUUUCAUCUAAACCAUUUUAGGAAAAUAAUUGGAGAACGUUCGCAAAACCCAAGCAACCAUUUUUCUCCUGCCAGGGUGGCAGAUGCAAACAUAAAGAGUAACAUGUCCAUACAUCUCCAAUCUCAACUUCUUAUGAAACAAAAUAAAAGCAAUCUGGUUGUGAACUGAUCCAAAGCAAAUACAAUAUUUCAGAACACUCCACAUUUAGUUGGUAGGGUUGAUUUAUAUAAUGCAAUCUAAGGACCAGUGUGCAAAUAUGAGGGGAAGACUAUUUCCCCUUCACACUUUCUUACCUCACAGACAUUGUUUUUGUUCUGCAUGCAAGUGAGGAGCCCUUGGCCUGCACAGCAGAAUCCUUUGAAGGAUGAACACUUGACAGGUUUCUAUGGUACUCCCAAAAAGGGUUGUUUUACGAGCCAGAGGUUCUCUUUGUCAUAUAUAAUACUCUGACAUUUAUUGUGGGAUCCAUGAGAUAAUCACACAGCAGUCUUCGAAAUGAGUGUUGCUGAAAGCAUUCCCUGCCUGACUUCAAUUAGCAGGCACUAUCUCUAGCCCCAGUCUACAGAUGGAGAGAGAAGGAAUGAAAGGGCAGCAUCUUCCUCAGCGCAGCUCUAUGUGCAGGCUGAGCCACAGUGCUGGCAGCCUGUGGGCCACCACUGAGCCCAGGCCACUGAGACCCCAUGCAGCAGCCUUGCCUUCAUCACUCACUCUCUUAUGUGCAAAGAGCUCAUUUGUAUCUGAGGUUUCUGCCUCCCCUGUUUUGAGGAGGUGUUGCUCCAGCCAUCGUUGCUGUCCCAUUACUAGAUUUCAAGGUUGGUUUCCAAGAUUUAGCGGCUUUUCAGCAGGCAGAACUCCUUGGGUUCAUGGCACUACAGUCCUACUUAAAGAUAAUUGCCAAGGUAAAUCAGAAACAAGGGGAACCUAA
Molecule: long non-coding RNA, 1229 nt
Filed under: Anas platyrhynchos platyrhynchos (common mallard)
Lineage: Eukaryota; Metazoa; Chordata; Aves; Anseriformes; Anatidae
Description: lncRNA (ENSAPLG00000026071.1)
Source: RNAcentral